GAUGAAGAACGUAGCGAAAUGCGAUAAGUAAUGUGAAUUGCAGAAUUCAGUGAAUCAUCGAAUCUUUGAACGCACAUUGCGCCCGCCAGUAUUCUGGCGGGCAUGCCUGUCCGAGCGUCAUUUCAACCAUCAAGCCCCGGGCUUGUGUUGGGGACCUGCGUCCGACGCAGGCCCUGAAAACCAGUGGCGGGCUCGCUGUCCACACCGAGCGUAGUAACUAACCUCGCUAUGGAGUGGCGCGGGCGCCUGCCGUAAAACCCCAAAUUUCACAAGGUUGACCUCGGAUCAGGUAGGAAUACCCGCUGAACUUAAGCAUAUCAAAAGAGGAGGA
Molecule: unclassified non-coding RNA, 331 nt
Filed under: soil metagenome
Description: partial contains 5.8S ribosomal RNA, internal transcribed spacer 2, and large subunit ribosomal RNA
Rfam family: 5.8S ribosomal RNA (bases 1-120)
Source: RNAcentral